CUACGGGAGGCUGCAGUGAGGAAUAUUGCACAAUGGGGGGAACCCUGAUGCAGCAACGCCGCGUGGAGGAUGACGCAUUUCGGUGUGUAAACUCCUUUUAUAUGUCAAGAAAAUGACGGUAGCAUAUGAAUAAGCACCGGCUAACUCCGUGCCAGCAGCCGCGGUAAUAGGGAGGGUGCAAGCGUUACUCGGAAUCACUGGGCGUAAAGGACGCGUAGGCGGGUUGGAAAGUCAGGUGUGAAAUCCUACAGCUUAACUGUAGAACUGCACUUGAAACUUCUAAUCUAGGGUAUGGGAGGGGGAGAUGGAAUUAGUGGUGUAGGGGUAAAAUCCGUAGAUAUCACUAGGAAUACCUAAAGCGAAGGCGAUCUCCUGGAACAUUACUGACGCUAAGGCGUGAAAGCGUGGGGAGCAAACAGGAUUAGAUACCCCAGUAGUC
RNAcentral lists this ribosomal RNA (439 nucleotides) under uncultured bacterium. Its description in RNAcentral is "partial 16S ribosomal RNA". It matches the Rfam family "Bacterial small subunit ribosomal RNA", at positions 339 to 795 of the family's 1533-position model. The record is from RNAcentral.